CCACCCCUGUCAGGAGAGCGCCUGACUUGCUUCCAAUAUGAAACAAGUCAGGCCGCCGAAGGCGCAGGCGGUUUGAAAAACUGCUGAACGCUCAGGCAAAAGGACUGACAAAACGCU
This 117-nucleotide non-coding RNA is filed under the name Limnohabitans planktonicus. RNAcentral's name for it is "Glycine sequence". It matches the Rfam family "Glycine riboswitch aptamer". From Rfam's summary of the family: This family represents the bacterial glycine riboswitch. Glycine riboswitches usually consist of two metabolite-binding aptamers domains with similar structures in tandem. The aptamers cooperatively bind glycine to regulate the expression of downstream genes. Lineage: Bacteria; Pseudomonadati; Pseudomonadota; Betaproteobacteria; Burkholderiales; Comamonadaceae. The record is from RNAcentral.